GGGUUCGAUUCCGGAGAGGGAGCCUGAGAAACGGCUACCANNNNNNAGGAAGGCAGCAGGCGCGCAAAUUACCCAAUCCCGACACGGGGAGGUAGUGACAAUAAAUAACAAUACGGGGCUCUUUCGGGUCUCGUAAUUGGAAUGAGUACAAUUUAAAUCCCUUAACGAGGAACAAUUGGAGGGCAAGUCUGGUGCCAGCAGCCGCGGUAAUUCCAGCUCCAAUAGCGUAUAUUAAAGUUGUUGCAGUUAAAAAGCUCGUAGUUGAAUUUCGGGAUUGACACAUCGGUCGUGCCUUAAGGGGUAUGAACUGGUGUAGUCAAUUUCUCACCUUCUGGAGAACCGCGAUGCCCUUAAUUGGGUGUCGCAGGGAACCAGGACCUUUACUUUGAAAAAAUUAGAGUGUUUAAAGCAGGCAUUUUGCUUGAAUACAUUAGCAUGGAAUAAUAAAAUAGGACGGCAUGAUUCUAUUUUGUUGGUUUCUAGGAUCACCGUAAUGAUUAAUAGGGAUAGUUGGGGGCAUUAGUAUUCAAUUGUCAGAGGUGAAAUUCUUGGAUUUAUUGAAGACUAACUACUGCGAAAGCAUUUGCCAAGGAUGUUUUCAUUAAUCAAGAACGAAAGUUAGGGGAUCGAAGAUGAUCAGAUACCGUCGUAGUCUUAACCAUAAACUAUGCCGACUAGGAAUCAGACGAUGUUAAUUUUUUAAUGACUCGUUUGGCACCUUACGGGA
Molecule: ribosomal RNA, 727 nt
Filed under: uncultured Glomeromycotina
Lineage: Eukaryota; Fungi; Glomeromycota
Description: SSU rRNA
Rfam family: Eukaryotic small subunit ribosomal RNA
Source: RNAcentral